UACGUAGGGGGCAAGCGUUGUCCGGAAUCAUUGGGCGUAAAGAGCGCGUAGGCGGCCCUGUAAGUCCGCUGUGAAAGUCAAGGGCUCAACCCUUGAAUGCCGGUGGAUACUGCAGGGCUAGAGUCCGGAAGAGGCGAGUGGAAUUCCUGGUGUAGCGGUGAAAUGCGUAGAUAUCAUUUGGAACGCCAAUGGUGAAAACAGGUAGCUGGGAGUGUGCUGACGCUGAGACACGAAAGCCAGGGGAGCGAACGGG
Molecule: ribosomal RNA, 253 nt
Filed under: uncultured bacterium
Lineage: Bacteria
Description: partial 16S ribosomal RNA
Rfam family: Bacterial small subunit ribosomal RNA
Source: RNAcentral